CUCCGGACGCGCGGUGGGCCGCCAGGCUGCCUGUAAAGCAGCCGUCCUCACGGACAAUGUGGGUUCGAUUCCCACCCGGGGC
RNAcentral lists this transfer RNA (82 nucleotides) under Gemmata obscuriglobus. Its description in RNAcentral is "tRNA-Tyr". The record is from RNAcentral. Lineage: Bacteria; Pseudomonadati; Planctomycetota; Planctomycetia; Gemmatales; Gemmataceae.